This 1130-nucleotide long non-coding RNA is filed under the name Parus major (Great Tit). RNAcentral's name for it is "lncRNA (ENSPMJG00000012456.1)". The record is from RNAcentral. Lineage: Eukaryota; Metazoa; Chordata; Aves; Passeriformes; Paridae.
CCUUCCCUUCCCUUCCCUUCCCUUCCCUUCCCCACAUUUGCUCCCUUUGGACUUCCCCCUGUCCUGUGAAUGGUGCUGAGGCUCCUGAAUCACAAAUCGAGAAGUGCAGUGACCUGAUGAAAUAAAUUACUGUUAGAGAAAAAACUCUAUUGUAGAGCUUCUCCCCUUCAAAAUCCACAGUCUGGAAGGGAGAUAUCCCCUCUUCCAUUUCCCAAAUGUUUGGAGGGUCAUACAGGAACUGAAAAGAGUGGGCAAUUUUUGAUUUUCUUAAUUGCCACAAGACAUUUAAAGCUUUAAGCUGUACAACCACUAUCCCCAACUCUUACUACAUUCAAUCACACUUGAAUGCACUGUAGCAGAAUUUCAUUUAGAUUUUGUAAGGUUUGUCCUUUUGAAAUCAGCAUAAAUUAUAAUGUUCCAGUCAAUAGUUUGUCCAACAGACAGCAAGUCACUUGAUUUUGCUUUAGCAUGUCUCAAUCUGUUAAACAAUAGGGCUUUUCUUUGCUGAAGUGGGACUGGUGUGCAUGCAGUAAGAAUAAGCUCAUUCUAACAGCUUUUCUUUGCUUUUCUGUUUUAGAGAGAGAGAAUUUGUAAAUACACUGUAUUAAAUCAUGUUUGGUAUCAAACUGUGAACCAUGCUGAUAAAAGAAGAAUUGACCCAAACUACUCAACCUCAAUCUAAUGAGAUCAAAAGACAUCAGCUGGAGCUGGUAGCUACUUCUCAUAGAGGGGAUUCUUUUCUCCUUUACAUCCUCUUUCAAGGUGAAUUUUAAUAAUAACUCGUGUGCUACAAACAAUCUUAGUAAUUUUAGUAUUUUGUAAAAGGUCCUUUUUUAACAUUAAAAAAACCCCACAACAACCUAUCAGGAAAUCCAUAUUCAGUUUUUUUCCACAGUGGAAACUGUGAAUUAUUUAUAACAGUAGUUUGAUUAUAUUAAAAAGCACAAUCCCAAGUCUGCAGUACAUUACUGGCUCCAUUCCUUGCCUAAAACAGGCGUGUUUAUAUUUUUCCUCAGUAAAUAUGUGAUAAUUAAAUGCAAAUAGACCAUAUUUUUCAAAUGAAUUCCCAACCCUGGAAACUUGGAUGAUGAUAAUCUUGCCUAAUAAAUGCACAACUGCAAGUGAAAUCA